This 76-nucleotide transfer RNA is filed under the name Bacteroidia bacterium. RNAcentral describes it as "tRNA-Gly". It matches the Rfam family "tRNA". Rfam says of the family: Transfer RNA (tRNA) molecules are approximately 80 nucleotides in length. Their secondary structure includes four short double-helical elements and three loops (D, anti-codon, and T loops). Further hydrogen bonds mediate the characteristic L-shaped molecular structure. tRNAs have two regions of fundamental functional importance: the anti-codon, which is responsible for specific mRNA codon recognition, and the 3' end, to which the tRNAs corresponding amino acid is attached (by aminoacyl-tRNA synthetases). tRNAs cope with the degeneracy of the genetic code in two manners: having more than one tRNA (with a specific anti-codon) for a particular amino acid; and 'wobble' base-pairing, i.e. permitting non-standard base-pairing at the 3rd anti-codon position. Lineage: Bacteria; Pseudomonadati; Bacteroidota; Bacteroidia. The record is from RNAcentral.
GCGGGAGUAGCUCAGUUGGUAGAGCAUUAGCCUUCCAAGCUAAGGGUCGCGAAUUCGAAUUUCGUCUCCCGCUCAA